RNAcentral lists this long non-coding RNA (1799 nucleotides) under Homo sapiens (human). RNAcentral's name for it is "HSALNT0377209". Lineage: Eukaryota; Metazoa; Chordata; Mammalia; Primates; Hominidae. The record is from RNAcentral.
GCCCACCCUGCCUGGGGCCGCGGUCCCGGAGCGCGGCGGGAAGAACGCCCACGUCACCUCCCGGUGUUGUUACACCCACAAUCACCACACUCUGACCCCCGCAAAGACCACAGAGGAGUAGGAAGAGGGCUGCCCUCGUACUCCCCAAGCCACCCCCGCCUCUGAGCGCGGAGGCACGAUGUUCUGGGGCUCGAGCCUUCGCAUCCACCGGGCCAGCGCUAACCACCGGCCGCCGCCCUGGAGGGGACCCGGCGGCCCCGCCACGUGCGGCUGCGAGUUUCAGACCCGCUUCCGGGGGGCGGCGGCCGUCGGAGGCCUGGGUUGGGGGGUCGUGAGCCGGAUGUUCCCCGCAGCUGGCCAGAAAGCUGCCUCUGAGCCUCUUGAGCAACUCCCUGCCUCCUCCGGUAGUCUCUCUGGACUCUCCAAGUGACUUGCUGGGGGCACCGGGCGCGGGGAGGGCAGGCCCCCGGGGUGACGCAGAGAAACCCCGGGACUAGCUCUGUCCCUGGUGCCCCGGCUACUGCCAGCGGGUCCUUAGCGCUGUCGAUUGCGCGCACCGGAGCCCGAAGUCUUCCCCACCGCUGGCAGGAGAGCCCCGCGAGCUCUCCCGGACGUGUCGGGUCCUAAAGGGGAGAGCUGAGCAGCCACUUCAGGGAUUGCACUCCGAGGUGGCCGAGGCAGGGAGGAGCGCUGGCCCCGCGAAGGAGGCCUCAACCUUAGGACAACCCGGGCGUCCCGGGCGAAGGUCUCGAUCUGCCGGAGCCACUGCCUUUCAGGCAUCGCUCCAUUAAAGCCAGGGAGGAGAGGGUCAUUGGCCAGCGACCCGCCCUCCUUACGUCCGGAGGUCACCCCACGCCUACAGGCAGGUUUUUCUGUCUCCUUUGCAGAACACUAUGCGUUUGUUACAACGAUUAAAUGAAGAACACAGAAGUCUCUGGCUCUGCCGGGCAGAACGCCUCUUAAGAGUAUCGCAGCUAAAAAGUGGGUUGGCUGUAAGCUGAUAAUCAGGUAGCUGUGGUCAGACACCCACUCCAGAACCUCUGCUACUCAGAGACCAUGUUAUCACACGCGACGUCCAUUAGGCCCCAGUAAUCCGCUAUCAACGCAUUUUAGAGCCAUUUGAAUGUUAAGGAGAUUUUUAUUAAUGGUCCAUGAUCCUAAAAUGUGACUAUUGGUUCUAGGAACAGAUUUUAACAACUCAAGGCUGUGAUGAGUGAUUUUCUGAUUUCUGUGCAGCCUAAGGCCUCAGGAGAUUUCAUCUGGGAGAUUGGGGGCAAGACCUAAGCCCUCACCCCACCAAGGACCUGUCUCUAAAGGGUACUUUCCAGCUUUUACCUGGGGAAACUGAGAUAGAGGGGGAGCAGGCCUGUGGCUCCUAAAGGCAGCAUUUGAAGGUCCUUUAAUGGGGAGACCAGGGGGACAAAAAAAGCAAUCAACAAUUGUAUGGCUACUAGAAACUGGCAUCUUAUUUUUAAAGAAGCCCUCAGCUGGAAAUGUCACCUAGUGAUGUCAAGUAGACUAAGAAAUUCUUAAUCAAAAGGCCCCCUUUGCACACCUGCAGUAGGCAAACUGAGGCAGGAGCAGUAGAGGUAGCAGGUAGCAGAGGAUUCUGAUUCUUGAAUACCUUUUUUUCCUUGUGGUGCUGAAACAGAAGUCAAUCCAAACUUUGCCCACUUACCAUUAUAUUUUCAGUGGGAUUCUUUUUUGUUUUCUUUGUUGUUGCUGUUGUUUUUUCUUUCAAAAUACCGUGUUUCCACUAAGAAUUAAAAGAAAAGGGGUGGGGAGAUUAAGGAAUAAAA